GCGGCAAACGGGUGAGUAAUAUCUGGGAAUCUACCCAAAAGAGGGGGAUAACUAUUAGAAAUGGUAGCUAAUACCGCAUAAAGUUGAAAAACCAAAGUAGGGGAUCUUUUUAAAAGACCUUGCGCUUUUGGAUGAGCCCAGACGAGAUUAGCUUGUUGGUAAGGUAAAAGCUUACCAAGGCUUCGAUCUCUAGCUGGUCUGAGAGGAUAACCAGCCACACUGGAACUGAGACACGGUCCAGACUCCUACGGGAGGCAGCAGUGGGGAAUAUUGCACAAUGGGCGAAAGCCUGAUGCAGCUAUGCCGCGUGUAUGAAGAAGGCCUUAGGGUUGUAAAGUACUUUCAGCGGGGAGGAAAAAGAUAAAACUAAUAAUUUUAU
RNAcentral lists this ribosomal RNA (379 nucleotides) under Aphis frisoni. Its description in RNAcentral is "bacterial SSU rRNA". It matches the Rfam family "Bacterial small subunit ribosomal RNA", at positions 95 to 471 of the family's 1533-position model. The record is from RNAcentral. Lineage: Eukaryota; Metazoa; Arthropoda; Insecta; Hemiptera; Aphididae.